CUAUGCGCCUUGCCAGCCCGCUCAGUCAGAGUUUGAUCCUGGCUCAGGAUGAACGCUGGCGGCAUGCCUAAUACAUGCAAGUCGAACGGGGUGCUUGCACCCAGUGGCGAACGGGUGAGUAACACGUAUUUAAUCUACCUUUUAGUGGGGGAUAACAGUUGGAAACGACUGCUAAUACCGCAUAUGACACCAUUAUGGCAUCAGAAGGUGUUAAAAGGUCCGUUUGGAUCGCUAAAAGAUGAGGAUGCGGCGUAUUAGCUAGUAGGUAGGGUAAUGGCUUACCUAGCGAUGAUACGUAGCCGAACUGAGAGGAUGACCAGCCACACUGGAACUGAGACACGGUCCAG
RNAcentral lists this ribosomal RNA (347 nucleotides) under uncultured bacterium. Its description in RNAcentral is "bacterial SSU rRNA". It matches the Rfam family "Bacterial small subunit ribosomal RNA", at positions 1 to 334 of the family's 1533-position model. The record is from RNAcentral.